GAUGAACGCUGGCGGCGUGCCUAAUACGUGCAAGUCGAGCGAACAGACGAGGAGCUUGCUCCUCUGACGUUAGCGGCGGACGGGUGAGUAACACGUGGAUAACCUACCUAUAAGACUGGGAUAACUUCGGGAAACCGGAGCUAAUACCGGAUAAUAUAUUGAACCGCAUGGUUCAAUAGUGAAAGACGGUUUUGCUGUCACUUAUAGAUGGAUCCGCGCCGCAUUAGCUAGUUGGUAAGGUAACGGCUUACCAAGGCAACGAUGCGUAGCCGACCUGAGAGGGUGAUCGGCCACACUGGAACUGAGACACGGUCCAGACUCCUACGGGAGGCAGCAGUAGGGAAUCUUCCGCAAUGGGCGAAAGCCUGACGGAGCAACGCCGUGUGAGUGAUGAAGGUCUUCGGAUCGUAAAACUCUGUUAUUAGGGAAGAACAAAUGUGUAAGUAACUAUGCACGUCUUGACGGUACCUAAUCAGAAAGCCACGGCUAACUACGUG
Molecule: ribosomal RNA, 497 nt
Filed under: uncultured bacterium
Lineage: Bacteria
Description: partial 16S ribosomal RNA
Rfam family: Bacterial small subunit ribosomal RNA
Source: RNAcentral